AUACGUAGGGUGCGAGCGUUGUCCGGAUUUAUUGGGCGUAAAGAGCUCGUAGGCGGUUUGUCGCGUCUAUCGUGAAAACCGGGAGCUUAACUCCUGGCUUGCGGUGGAUACGGGCAGACUUGAGUUCGGUAGGGGAGACUGGAAUUCCUGGUGUAGCGGUGAAAUGCGCAGAUAUCAGGAGGAACACCGGUGGCGAAGGCGGGUCUCUGGGCCGAUACUGACGCUGAGGAGACGAAAGCGGUGGGGAGAC
Molecule: ribosomal RNA, 250 nt
Filed under: uncultured bacterium
Lineage: Bacteria
Description: partial 16S ribosomal RNA
Rfam family: Bacterial small subunit ribosomal RNA
Source: RNAcentral